This 3654-nucleotide long non-coding RNA is filed under the name Homo sapiens (human). RNAcentral's name for it is "non-protein coding lnc-UBAC2-6:4". Lineage: Eukaryota; Metazoa; Chordata; Mammalia; Primates; Hominidae. The record is from RNAcentral.
GGUCGGCGCGGCCCGGCGCUGGAGCUAGGCGGCCGGACUGGCAGGGGCGGCGUGCCGCGCGGGACCCUCACUGGGGAAGGUGGGGGGUCGGGGCCGCCUCCGCCCCGGGCCGCACGUCCGAAGACCGGAGGAGGGGACUGCGCACGCCACCAAGAGGGCGCACAGCCGAGGCUGGACGAUGCGCGGUUUCGGAGCAGGGUUUCCUGCCCAGGGAGCCCGGCUGCGCUCGAGGGGACCCCGAAGUCACCGGCAGGGUCGGAGCUCGGUGCACCACGCCCCCCCUCUGCGCCCGGGGCCUCUGCGGGGACAGAGGUCUCAGGAAAGUAGCCUUUAUUUAUGUGGCACCGAUCGGAACCCGCGGCCGGCCAGGCGGACCUGGACGGAGCGUCCCUGCUCGGAACCUGGCGCGGGGCGCCGCGCGCUCGUGUGGCGCCUCGGCCUCCCCACCGUUCAGUCCCCGGAGGCACGGAGCUCGCGGCGGGACGAUGACGGUUGGGCCGGGCCAGGCGUGGGAGACUCCCAGACUCCGGCCCGCCGGGACGGCCAGCUGCGUCACCUUGGACGUGGGCAAUACUUCGGAGCCUCGGUUAUGUCGCCUGUAACCUGAGGACAACGGCCUGGAAGGGGCUCAGGUGACACGGCGGCCCUCACUGGGGCCGAUUUAGCCGGUCUGCCGCCCCUCCGCGCCGGACCGCCAGGCGGGGUACCAGGGAAACUGCGAUGCGCCGGCUUGCGAGCCCACCGUGACGCAGAGCUGGCGGCCGCUAGCGACAGCCACCCUGUGAGGGACUUUCCCCCCAAUACCCUAACCGCUUUCCUGUCCCUAAGGGCCCGCUCCCGCCCCGGCUCCGUUUCUGUCUCUCUGAGGAAGCCCGGCGCAGCCUAACCCUCACAGGGCCGCGGAGAGGGCGCGCCAGGCGGGGAUUUGCGCCAGGCCCGCGGCGCAUGCUCAGUGGUUGGGGACUGGGCGGGUACCCCGGGCGGGGAGCCUGACUGAACGGCGGCUCUGCUGAUUGGUCGGGCUGCUCACGCCACGCCCGUUGCCUUCCGAUGGACAGUUCCUUACCUGCCGGGUCGGCCUCCGCAGAGAGUGGUGGUCUUGAAAACCCAGUUUUGGGAGAAUACCUGCCGCGCCUCCCGCCCAAAUACCCAGAGGUUUCAUAGCCGCCAUCGCUGCGGUGGAGGAGGCCGCCUGUUGCGUCCCACCCCACCAGAAAGCCUAACACUGGCCUGAAGCGUAAUCUUAAAGUGGUAGGGGAAAAUACCGAUCUAGCGCAGAGAGCAAAACACCUCCGUUCUGGGUUUAAUGGGCAGGUCUGGAGGUGAGGUAUGCCGUCCGCACUCAAUAAUUACUUGCAGGAUCGGAUUGUUUCUCCAGUGGGUGGGGACUGCAGGAUGUAGCAUUGAGUGAGCCUGGCAGAUUGAAAGAUAAAACAAGGGUGAUGAUAAAAACAAUUACACACUAACCCAUUUCCUCCUCCGUGAAAUGAGGGAAUGGCCCAGACAUUUUCCAGACCUCUUCUGUCCUAAGAGUGGAGCUGGGUGACAGAGCAGGUGCAAGCCGGCCUUUCCCUGCCUCCCCGGGGAACGCACUCUGUUCGGUGAGAGCAACUCAGCUCGCAUUGACUCCUUUCAGCUGCAGGAGUGUGGCCGUUCAGUUCUCAUUUGAACUGUUGACAACAGUUGUCUUCUGAGAAUCAUGAGUUAGAGCCUCCCUUUAGGCUUCUGACUCCCUCAAAAGUACCAGACAACACAAACUUUUCCCCUCUUGUUACCUUGGCUCUCUAAGCUGUAUCUACUUCUAUACAAGGCGAACAAUUUUGUCUUUUUAAAUUAAAAACAACAACAAAAGCACCUAAGGUUGUAGGGUUUUAUAUUCUUUUUUCUUUUCUUUUUUUAAGAGCUAUAUGAUUACAGUAGAGUGUGUGUGUGUGUGUGUGUGUGUGUGUGUGUGUGUAGUCUAAAGAACAAAAUUUCAACAAAUGGUUUUAAAGAUCUAAUUGGCUUCUAUUAGCAAUGCAUGAACCAGGCAGCAUUCUGACUACAAAAUAGACGGGAGCUCUUGUGGGAAUGGAAGAACAGCUGGGUUUUGUUAAGGUAACUUAAGCAGGAACAAGGGAAAAGCAUAGUGCCGAAAGCACAUCGGGUAACUUCAGGUUACUCUCCUUUAUGGGUUAAAGCAGAGGGGGCUGCCUUAGCUGGCUCAGGCUGACUGGGCCCCGUUUGACUGGUUGCUGUGAAUCUCCUGGUUUUUGGAAAACUGGCCCUUUUGGGGAUUUUCCUGUUUUUUAAAAUCUCUGUUUAGUUACGUGGCACCUAACACAGUGGCUUCAUUUUAGUCUGGUCUGUUGGGGCCUAGUUCAGGAGCUCAGUCCAAGACAAUGACCUACCAUAAAUUUUAUUUAAAUAUAUGUAUAUCUGGAAAGUGAAGAAUUCCCCAAACCUACCAAUUUUAUCCAUAUCUCUACCACUCCUAAAUUCUGUACUUACUUGCUGAUUCAGUAUAUUCUAGAAUUGGCAGAUUUUCAUUUAGGAAGCAGAGAACAACAGACAAUGUGCCAACAGUAGUCACUGGCAAUGUCUAACCAAGCACAGGUUCUGACAGACAAGGCGGCAUGGAAACGUGAACUAAGCCCAGGAAGAUGGACCCAGCAACCCAGAGUGGAGCCUCUUCUUCCUGGUGAAGUGCUGUUGAUAACAAAUGGGACAUUCCUAGUGUUAAAGUUUCAGCAGAAACUUGGUCCCUACUGUUCUGGGUUGAAUUGUAGUCCCCCAAAAGAUAUAUUGAAGUUCCAAACCCAGUACCUGUGAAUGUGGCCUUAUUGGAAAUAGGUCUUUGCACAUGUAACCAACUUAAGGUGAGGUCCUACUGGAAUAGGUGGGCCCUAAUUCAGUAUGAAUGGUUGUUUGUUUGUUUGUUUGUUUGUUUGUUUUGACAGAGCCUCACUCUGUUGCCCAGGCUGGAGUGCUGUGGUGCAGUCUCAGCUCACUGCAGCCUCUGCCUCCCAGGAGGCUGGGAUUACAGGCACCUGUCACCACACCUGGCUAAUUUUUUGUAUUUUUAGUAGAGAAGGGGUUUUGCCAUGUUGGCCAGGCUGAGGUCAGGUCGAACUCCUGACCUCAGGUGAUCCGCCCAUCUCAGCCUCCCAAGGUGCUGGGAUUACAGGCGUGAGCCACCACGCCCAGCCUGAAUGGUGUCUUUAUAAGAAGAGACACAAAUACAUACACAAAGGAAAAAUACUAUGUGACAACAAAGGUAGGAAGGAGAAUACUGCACACCUGCAAGCCACAGAACAGCAAGGAUCACUGGGAACCACCAGAAACUGGAAGAGGCAAGGAAGGAUUCUUCCCUAAAGUCAUCAGAGGGAGCAUGGCCUGCUGACACCUUGACUUCAGAAUUCUAGCCUCUAGAACAGUGACAGAAGAAAUUCUGUUGUUUUAAGUUUGUGGAACUUUUACAGCAGUCCUGGGAAACCAACAUGCUGGCCAAAGGCUAUUUUUAAAAUUUCCACCAGAGUGGGCCUGGAAUUGUGUGAAUUCUUUUGGCAUCACUAUUUCCUGGAGAGCAGUCAUACCUACAGAGGGGCAGAGCAUCAGCCCAAAAGAGGGUGCUACCUGGCUACCUGGGAUGAGGCUGACCUCUGGCUGGACUGG